RNAcentral lists this long non-coding RNA (261 nucleotides) under Homo sapiens (human). Its description in RNAcentral is "LHRI_LNC816.1". The record is from RNAcentral. Lineage: Eukaryota; Metazoa; Chordata; Mammalia; Primates; Hominidae.
CCUUUCCUGUAGUCUCCCUUCAAUUUUGUCUCUGUAGCCCAUCAUCUCCAGGAAGCCUGCUUGGAUUGGCAGUGCCCCAUGAUCCAGGGCUCCUGAGAGACAUAAAGGGUCUAGCUUCCCUCAGGUAACUCCCAAAUGCCCCAGCAAAUUCUCCUCUGACCGUUCAUCAACAUGCUGCAGCUGCUGGGGGUGGCGGCCAAUGAGGUCUCGCACGGUAGUGCCAGGGCUCAGGCUGCAGUAUAGCUGGAACACAUCCCGGAG